GACCCCUAAGGCGAGGCCGAAAGGCGUAGUCGAUGGGAAACAGGUUAAUAUUCCUGUACUUGGUGUUACUGCGAAGGGGGGACGGAGAAGGCUAUGUUGGCCGGGCGACGGUUGUCCCGGUUUAAGCGUGUAGGCUGGUUUUCCAGGCAAAUCCGGAAAAUCAAGGCUGAGGCGUGAUGACGAGGCACUACGGUGCUGAAGCAACAAAUGCCCUGCUUCCAGGAAAAGCCUCUAAGCAUCAGGUAACAUCAAAUCGUACCCCAAACCGACACAGGUGGUCAGGUAGAGAAUACCAAGGCGCUUGAGAGAACUCGGGUGAAGGAACUAGGCAAAAUGGUGCCGUAACUUCGGGAGAAGGCACGCUGAUAUGUAGGUGAAGUCCCUCGCGGAUGGAGCUGAAAUCAGUCGAAGAUACCAGCUGGCUGCAACUGUUUAUUAAAAACACAGCACUGUGCAAACACGAAAGUGGACGUAUACGGUGUGACGCCUGCCCGGUGCCGGAAGGUUAAUUGAUGGGGUCAGCGCAAGCGAAGCUCUUGAUCGAAGCCCCGGUAAACGGCGGCCGUAACUAUAACGGUCCUAAGGUAGCGAAAUUCCUUGUCGGGUAAGUUCCGACCUGCACGAAUGGCGUAAUGAUGGCCAGGCUGUCUCCACCCGAGACUCAGUGAAAUUGAACUCGCUGUGAAGAUGCAGUGUACCCGCGGCAAGACGGAAAGACCCCGUGAACCUUUACUAUAGCUUGACACUGAACAUUGAGCCUUGAUGUGUAGGAUAGGUGGGAGGCUUUGAAGUGUGGACGCCAGUCUGCAUGGAGCCGACCUUGAAAUACCACCCUUUAAUGUUUGAUGUUCUAACGUGGACCCGUGAUCCGGGUUGCGGACAGUGUCUGGUGGGUAGUUUGACUGGGGCGGUCUCCUCCUAAAGAGUAACGGAGGAGCACGAAGGUUGGCUAAUCCUGGUCGGACAUCAGGAGGUUAGUGCAAUGGCAUAAGCCAGCUUGACUGCGAGCGUGACGGCGCGAGCAGGUGCGAAAGCAGGUCAUAGUGAUCCGGUGGUUCUGAAUGGAAGGGCCAUCGCUCAACGGAUAAAAGGUACUCCGGGGAUAACAGGCUGAUACCGCCCAAGAGUUCAUAUCGACGGCGGUGUUUGGCACCUCGAUGUCGGCUCAUCACAUCCUGGGGCUGAAGUAGGUCCCAAGGGUAUGGCUGUUCGCCAUUUAAAGUGGUACGCGAGCUGGGUUUAGAACGUCGUGAGACAGUUCGGUCCCUAUCUGCCGUGGGCGCUGGAGAACUGAGGGGGGCUGCUCCUAGUACGAGAGGACCGGAGUGGACGCAUCACUGGUGUUCGGGUUGUCAUGCCAAUGGCACUGCCCGGUAGCUAAAUGCGGAAGAGAUAAGUGCUGAAAGCAUCUAAGCACGAAACUUGCCCCGAGAUGAGUUCUCCCUGACCCUUUAAGGGUCCUGAAGGAACGUUGAAGACGACGACGUUGAUAGGCCGGGUGUGUAAGCGCAGCGAUGCGUUGAGCUAACCGGUACUAAUGAACCGUGAGGCUUAACCUU
RNAcentral lists this ribosomal RNA (1559 nucleotides) under Escherichia coli. RNAcentral's name for it is "bacterial LSU rRNA". It matches the Rfam family "Bacterial large subunit ribosomal RNA", at positions 1386 to 2925 of the family's 2925-position model. The record is from RNAcentral. Lineage: Bacteria; Pseudomonadati; Pseudomonadota; Gammaproteobacteria; Enterobacterales; Enterobacteriaceae.